Molecule: transfer RNA, 77 nt
Filed under: Candidatus Borkfalkia sp.
Lineage: Bacteria; Bacillati; Bacillota; Clostridia; Christensenellales; Christensenellaceae
Also listed under: 1 other name
Description: tRNA-His
Rfam family: tRNA
About the family: Transfer RNA (tRNA) molecules are approximately 80 nucleotides in length. Their secondary structure includes four short double-helical elements and three loops (D, anti-codon, and T loops). Further hydrogen bonds mediate the characteristic L-shaped molecular structure. tRNAs have two regions of fundamental functional importance: the anti-codon, which is responsible for specific mRNA codon recognition, and the 3' end, to which the tRNAs corresponding amino acid is attached (by aminoacyl-tRNA synthetases). tRNAs cope with the degeneracy of the genetic code in two manners: having more than one tRNA (with a specific anti-codon) for a particular amino acid; and 'wobble' base-pairing, i.e. permitting non-standard base-pairing at the 3rd anti-codon position.
Source: RNAcentral
GCGGGUGUAGCUCAGUUGGUUAGAGCGCCAGAUUGUGGCCCUGGAGGUCGUGGGUUCGAUUCCCGUCGCCCGCCCCA